RNAcentral lists this ribosomal RNA (476 nucleotides) under uncultured bacterium. RNAcentral's name for it is "partial 16S ribosomal RNA". It matches the Rfam family "Bacterial small subunit ribosomal RNA", at positions 28 to 507 of the family's 1533-position model. The record is from RNAcentral.
GAUGAACGCUCGCGCCAGGCCUAACACAUGCAAGUCGAGGGAGAAGCCUUUCGGGGCAGACACCGGCGCACGGGUGCGUAACGCGUAUGCAACCUACCUUUCACAGGGGGAUAGCCCGAAGAAAUUUGGAUUAAUACCCCAUAAUAUUGUUGGAUGGCAUCAUCUGAUAAUUAAAACUGCGGUGGUGAAAGAUGGGCAUGCGUCCUAUUAGCUAGUUGGAGUGGUAACGGCACCCCAAGGCUACGAUAGGUAGGGGUCCUGAGAGGGAGAUCCCCCACACUGGUACUGAGACAGGGACCAGACUCCUACGGGAGGCAGCAGUGAGGAAUAUGAGGCAAUGGUCGGAAGACUGAACCAGCCAUGCCGCGUGCAGGAAGAAUGCCUUAUGGGUUGUAAACUGCUUUUAUAUGGGAAGAAUAAGGUGUACGUGUACAUUGAUGACGGUACCAUAUGAAUAAGCAGCGGCUAACUCCGUG